Molecule: long non-coding RNA, 470 nt
Filed under: Manihot esculenta (cassava)
Lineage: Eukaryota; Viridiplantae; Streptophyta; Magnoliopsida; Malpighiales; Euphorbiaceae
Description: long non-coding RNA (MESC_LNC008955)
Source: RNAcentral
UUUUGUGAUUUCCCCCAUCCUUGAAGCACCACUAUAAGAAGUUAAAUUGCAAAUGAAUGAAUUGCAGGAAGUAACAUAAGCCACUGGAAAAAUGAACUAACACACCAAGCACAAGCUUAACAGUUUACCAAUUCAUAUACAACUCCUUUACAGAGGAAUCUGAAAUGAGUCUGCAACUGUAAAUGCUAAAUAAUCGCAUAUGAUUUGGUAAAAGAAGUGACUCACAAUUCUGAUGAGAUUUAAUUAGAGGUUGAAAGUGAGAGUUCCAGUUAAGCCUCCAAGUAAGGUUUUUCUUGGCCCAAUUGUUGUUGUUGGCGGCAGCGGCGAUGGUGAUGUUGGUGGUGGUGGGAAUAAUUGGGUUCUUUUUGGUUGGUGUUGCUGGUGCUGGAGAUGGUGGUAAUUGGAGGAAAGCAAACGAUUCUGGUUUUGUUCAUGCUUGGUUAGUUUAAUCUUUUCAAAAAAUUAUUUUA